UGAGCCCUGACAGGGCACUUCAGAACACUUUCAAAGACAAGCAUAGAUUUGCAGCAUUGCAGGUUUUGGUCAGUGGACUCUGUCUAGCCCACUGUUAAAUGUUCCUGGCUCUGGCUCUGAUAUAGAUUGUUGUGAGAGUCUCAAGGAAGUCUCAGUCCUGAGCGUACGAAUACAGUCUUGCUCAUUAGUGGCCCAUCAGUAUCCUGUGCUUGUUUCUGUUUGAUACCACGUUGAGCCUAGGAUGCUGCGCCCCUGUUCUAUGGCUGUUCAUGUUGCUAGAAUUCUCUCUGGGAGCAGGUGUAGCAUGGAAGGAGGGGCAGAUGGUUAGAGAACCUGGAGAAUGGAGAGGGGCUGGAUUGGAUGUGGCUCACUUGUCAUGGAAACCCAAGCCAUCAUCUUCACUGUAGCCAUUUGCUGUGGGUAUUGAGGAAGACUCUUGGAUGGUGCAGAGGCUAUGCUAACAGUGGACAUGGUGGCCUGCUGCUGCUGCUAAGUUUGUUGCUCUGGCAGAGUAUUCCUUAAUGCUGGAGAAGUGUUCUACAUGGGAUGGUAGAAUAGGGCAGAGAAAUGGGCUCAGCAGUUCACACCCACGUCUGCAGCGUAGAGUUUACUGUCCUAGGCAGACAUUAUCUUCACGUGUUUUAUGGGGCUGAGAAACUCCACGGAGCUUAACUUUCAAGAAGAGUGCACUGCAGACCUGGAAUGGGAACUGUUGCCGUCUGCAGUUUCUGUUUCUAAUGUAGAAGUUAUGCUUACCCCAGUGUGUGCCUUAGGCUGCUUCCUUCUCUCUCUUCCCACCUCUCUCCCUACCCCAACAGGGUUUCUCUGGAUAGCCCAGGCUGUACUGGAACUAGCUCUGUAGACCAGGCCGACAGCCUCUGCCUCCAGCCUGCUAGGAUUAAGGCAUUGAGUGGCUUUCUUAAAGUCAUCUCUGUGCUUUUGUUCCAGUGGAUAGCCUUUGAAGGGCUUCCAGGAAUUCAGUGGAUUAGUCCAUUCUUGUCAUUGUCCCCUUUGUAGGCCAUGUCUUUAUCAUUGUUAUGUUUUCCUUUUAGUGUAAGUAAGCCAAACAGUUGUCACUAGACGGCAGAGUGAAAGUCUCUGUCAGGUCUCCUGCUAAGUACUUCCACACUGUCCUUCUUUAACCCUUCUGUGUAUUUAUUUAUUUUUUGGCAUAGUUAUAUUUACCAAGUAUGUGGUCUGUCUGGAUCAGUGUUGGUUUGGGGUAGCCCAUGCCGUCCUCACGGCCUUCAGGGAAGAAAGCUGAUGUCAUCCUUACCUUGCAGAUGAGGGGACUGAGCGAGCAAGGUUAAUCAGCUGCUCCACUUCACACUCGUGCUGCACAGUAGAGCAGGGGCUGGCCGGGUCCGCAGCCUUGGUCUUAAGUCGGUGUACAUUUGUGAUUCUAAGAAACGGAGCAAUACUCAGCACCAGGAGUUCACUUGAGUAUUUAAAGAGUUGAUAAAAUCAAAGAAGGUUCCUUUUGACUUCUGAACGUUAGUUUUGUGGAAAGUCUUUUGUGACGUUCAGCAUUUGGAAGGUUGGCUGUGGGUCUGGAGAUGGGUCAGUGGCUAAGGGUGUGCACUGCUCAUGCAGAUGGCAGCUUGAUUCCCAGCACCCACAUCAGGCAGCUGCAGAGCUGGUGGCUCCAGCCCCACAGCAUCUGUCACCCUGGCCUUGCAGGCACCCACACUCAGGUAAGCAUGUGC
Molecule: long non-coding RNA, 1706 nt
Filed under: Mus musculus (house mouse)
Lineage: Eukaryota; Metazoa; Chordata; Mammalia; Rodentia; Muridae
Description: long non-coding RNA chr17:5051356-5053062
Source: RNAcentral